CAGCAGCCGCGGUAAUACAGAGGGUGCGAGCGUUAAUUGGAUUUACUGGGCGUAAAGCGUGCGUAGGCGGCUUUUUAAGUCGGAUGUGAAAUCCCUGAGCUUAACUUAGGAAUUGCAUUCGAUACUGGGAAGCUAGAGUAUGGGAGAGGAUGGUAGAAUUCCAGGUGUAGCGGUGAAAUGCGUAGAGAUCUGGAGGAAUACCGAUGGCGAAGGCAGCCAUCUGGCCUAAUACUGACGCUGAGGUACGAAAGCAUGGGGAGCAAACAGGAUUAGAUACCCCUGUAGUCCCUGUCUCUUAUAC
RNAcentral lists this ribosomal RNA (301 nucleotides) under uncultured bacterium. Its description in RNAcentral is "partial 16S ribosomal RNA". It matches the Rfam family "Bacterial small subunit ribosomal RNA", at positions 509 to 807 of the family's 1533-position model. The record is from RNAcentral.